GGGGUGAAUAGCGUUUUAUAAAAAUUCGCAGGAAUAAAAAAUAACUCAAAUGCGUAAAUAAAAGGGUAAGGAAGAAGUGCACCAAAUUUAUACUGGUUGGCCACAAAUGUGGUUAUAUCCAGUCUCCCGAGAUACAAUCUCGAGGUUCAACUAAUCCUGUUGAGCUUCCGGGUGCUCAACAAACCGUUACAACUUGAGAACUUGAGUCACACAAGCCUC
This 219-nucleotide long non-coding RNA is filed under the name Nicotiana benthamiana. Its description in RNAcentral is "long non-coding RNA (NBEN_LNC028338)". The record is from RNAcentral. Lineage: Eukaryota; Viridiplantae; Streptophyta; Magnoliopsida; Solanales; Solanaceae.